UCGAACGGUGAAGCCCAGCUUGCUGGGUGGAUCAGUGGCGAACGGGUGAGUAACACGUGAGCAACCUGCCCUCCACUUCGGGAUAAGCCUUGGAAACGGGGUCUAAUACCGGAUAUGAGCUCGCAUCGCAUGGUGUGGGUUGGAAAGUUUUUCGGUGGGGGAUGGGCUCGCGGCCUAUCAGCUUGUUGGUGGGGUGAUGGCCUACCAAGGCGUCGACGGGUAGCCGGCCUGAGAGGGCGACCGGCCACACUGGGACUGAGACACGGCCCAGACUCCUACGGGAGGCAGCAGUGGGGAAUAUUGCACAAUGGGCGCAAGCCUGAUGCAGCGACGCCGCGUGAGGGAUGACGGCCUUCGGGUUGUAAACCUCUUUCAGCAGGGAAGAAGCGCAAGUGACGGUACCUGCAGAAGAAGCGCCGGCUAACUACGUGCCAGCAGCCGCGGUAAUACGUAGGGCGCAAGCGUUGUCCGGAAUUAUUGGGCGUAAAGAGCUCGUAGGCGGUCUGUCGCGUCUGGUGUGAAAUCCCGAGGCUCAACCUCGGGCUUGCAUCGGGUACGGGCAGACUAGAGUGCGGUAGGGGAGACUGGAAUUCCUGGUGUAGCGGUGGAAUGCGCAGAUAUCAGGAGGAACACCGAUGGCGAAGGCAGGUCUCUGGGCCGCAACUGACGCUGAGGAGCGAAAGCAUGGGGAGCGAACAGGAUUAGAUACCCUGGUAGUCCAUGCCGUAAACGUUGGGCACUAGGUGUGGGGCUCAUUCCACGAGUUCCGUGCCGCAGCUAACGCAUUAAGUGCCCCGCCUGGGGAGUACGGCCGCAAGGCUAAAACUCAAAGGAAUUGACGGGGGCCCGCACAAGCGGCGGAGCAUGCGGAUUAAUUCGAUGCAACGCGAAGAACCUUACCAAGGCUUGACAUGUACGAGAAAGCCCCCGAGACGGGGUUCUCUUUGGACACUCGUACACAGGUGGUGCAUGGUUGUCGUCAGCUCGUGUCGUGAGAUGUUGGGUUAAGUCCCGCAACGAGCGCAACCCUCGUCCUAUGUUGCCAGCGGGUUAUGCCGGGGACUCAUGGGAGACUGCCGGGGUCAACUCGGAGGAAGGUGGGGAUGACGUCAAAUCAUCAUGCCCCUUAUGUCUUGGGCUUCACGCAUGCUACAAUGGCCGGUACAGAGGGCUGCGAUACCGUAAGGUGGAGCGAAUCCCAAAAAGCCGGU
This 1211-nucleotide ribosomal RNA is filed under the name uncultured bacterium. RNAcentral's name for it is "bacterial SSU rRNA". It matches the Rfam family "Bacterial small subunit ribosomal RNA", at positions 62 to 1286 of the family's 1533-position model. The record is from RNAcentral.